Molecule: ribosomal RNA, 22 nt
Filed under: Peracreadium characis
Lineage: Eukaryota; Metazoa; Platyhelminthes; Trematoda; Plagiorchiida; Opecoelidae
Description: partial 28S ribosomal RNA
Source: RNAcentral
GACCUCGGAUCAGGCGUGAAUA